Molecule: ribosomal RNA, 253 nt
Filed under: uncultured bacterium
Lineage: Bacteria
Description: partial 16S ribosomal RNA
Rfam family: Bacterial small subunit ribosomal RNA
Source: RNAcentral
UACGGAGGGUGCAAGCGUUGUUCGGAAUUACUGGGCGUAAAGCGCGCGCAGGCGGCUUGUUAAGUCAGAUGUGAAAGCCCAUGGCUCAACCAUGGACGUGCAUUUGAAACUGGCAAGCUUGAGUAGUGGAGGGGGUGGUGGAAUUCCCGGUGUAGAGGUGAAAUUCGUAGAUAUCGGGAGGAAUACCGGUGGCGAAGGCGACCACCUGGCCACAUACUGACGCUGAGGCGCGAAAGCGUGGGGAGCAAACAGG